GUUUCUGAGAAAAGAGCCAGAAAUCGAACCUGGAACCUGUUGCUGCUAAUCAAAUCAUGACAGAAAGCAAGUUUUUGUAGUUCCUCUCUGAGCUGGCCAUCGUGCAAAGUAUGACACUAAAGGAAAGCUUGUAGAGAACAGUGUGAUGGAGGAAAUAAUGACUUGUGAGUCUAGAAACCUACCACAGGAGCUAGAGCUUCAUGAUUUCUAUCAAAAGGUGGGCACCCACAGCUUGUCAUGGAUAGACCGGCAGAGCUGUCACCCAUCCUUGGCACAGCCUCCUCUGGGGACUGACUGUGUGAAUGGUUUGAACCCAGCCCAUGAACAGCCACUGGAAAUUGCGGCUGCGCUACCGUGCAUGAGCACAGUGCUGGGACGAGUCUAUUUGUCAGUGGGUGAGCACCCCAGGCCGGCUGGCGGCCGUGCCCGGGCUGAGCCGGGCGGGGGCUCGGUGCGGGCGGUGCCCGCGGGCGGGAGCGCUCGGCGCUCGGCGCAGCGGACAGUGCCAUCUGCUGCUCCGCGCCUGGAAAGCAAACCUGCUCCGGGCUGGCCCUCCACCGCUCCUGCCACCGUGUGCUCCCCAGCCCUGCCUCUGCCCCCGCCCGUUCCCCGGCCCUGCCUGUGCCACCGUGUGCUCCCCAGCCCUGCCUCUGCCACCGUGUGCUCCCCAGCCCUGCCUCUGCCACCGUGUGCUCCCCAGCCCUGCCUCUGCCCCCGCCCGUUCCCCGGCCCUGCCUGUGCCACCGUGUGCUCCCCAGCCCUGCCUCUGCCACCGUGUGCUCCCCAGCCCUGCCUCUGCCACCGUGUGCUCCCCAGCCCUGCCUCUGCCCCCGCCCGUUCCCCGGCCCUGCCUGUGCCACCGUGUGCUCCCCAGCCCUGCCUCUGCCACCGUGUGCUCCCCAGCCCUGCCUCUGCCACCGUGUGCUCCCCAGCCCUGCCUCUGCCCCCGCCCGUUCCCCGGCCCUGCCUGUGCCACCGUGUGCUCCCCAGCCCUGCCUCUGCCACCGUGUGCUCCCCAGCCCUGCCUCUGCCACCGUGUGCUCCCCAGCCCUGCCUCUGCCCCCGCCCGUUCCCCGGCCCUGCCUCUGGCCCCGUGUGCUCCCCGGCCCUGCCUCUCUGCGCUGCCUGCCAAGGUUUUCCAUCACUGCUGAGGUGA
This 1156-nucleotide long non-coding RNA is filed under the name Ficedula albicollis (Collared flycatcher). RNAcentral describes it as "lncRNA (ENSFALG00000024510.1)". Lineage: Eukaryota; Metazoa; Chordata; Aves; Passeriformes; Muscicapidae. The record is from RNAcentral.